CAUCCUUGUAGGACCUCAGCGAGCGGUCAGUGUACACACAUACACAGACUUUGCGUCUUCUGCCCGCGGAGGCUGCUCUUCAGCACCCGGCGCGAGAACAAUUCCCCAACUUCACUUCACGUGCGCUCGAGACGCCGCGCGCGCACACUCACAUUCUGUCACAUUCGACGGUAAGCGCUCACGCAAGAAAACCUCUGUCUGACUGACUGUCUCCGAGAAGAAGAAGAAGAAGUAGAAACAGAGAGAGAAAGAGAAAAAGAAAGAGAACGAGAGAAUCUCUCCUCACCGAGCUGCUUAUUUUCUCUGUCAAGCGUGUAUCAUCCGCUGUGUGGUGAAAAGCGCAGACCUGCGUGGGACCGAUUUCCCGCCGCUGCAAGGAAACACCAACCGUCCUCUGAAAGGCCUCUGCAUCUUCGUCCUGAAGCAUGACUAUUCGUGCAUAAAUGCAUCUCUUUCUGUCAACACAGCAGUCUGACCAUUAAACGCAGUCUGGGAGGAAAUGCGAGAAAAGAGGUUGAUUUGCUGAUUCCCAGCCUUGAUGCUCUGAUGUCUGCUGGCCCUUGACCUUCAUCCAUGGAUUAGUUCCUUUACGCUUGAGGCAGAUCUGACUGACCAGAUGGUAUCCCUAUGUGUCACUUCUUGAGGGUCAGGUGAGUGAUGCCCUGUUUGAAAUGACAUUUAGUUACUCCAUUUGGUCAGGGCUGUUAAAAAGAUUAACCUUGAGAACAAGAAAUAAUAAAUGGGAUGUAAUGCUAUGCAUUACUAUGAAUCAGAGACAGCUAGGCACAAAAAAUAAGUUGCGAAAUCCAUACGGAUCAAACAUCUCUAUGCGAACCAGUCGCUUGGCCCGUCAACAAUCAAAAUGUUUUAAUACGGCUUGAUUUUCUUUGUAGCGUAAAGCCUGAGCAUUUUCGUGAAUGCAUAUUGUGUCCGUGUUAGUGUGUCAGUGUGUACAAGACAUAUUUUCUCCCAUCCCUCCGAGGCUUAACGGCGUUGUCCAAUCAGCGACAGGCGCUGCCUAGAUGAGCCAAUGAGGACACAAUUGGAUAGUAUUCGUUCUUUGGAAUCAAAGGCGCAGCACUCCUAUGAUAUUAAAAUGCACUCUGUCUUUGUUCGUACCACGCCAAACCAAGAGUGAAAGGGGGAGGGUAAGGGGAGAAAAAACACACUCCACCAAAAAAACCUUUUUGUAUUCCUCCCCAUAUGUCUCUGCGGGUGGGCACGCAAUGACUCUCCCACUUCUUGCUUUGAAAUCUCUGCCACUUCAGCUGCCUCCUUGAGCUUUUGUCAGCUUGAGACGCCGCACCUCGAUGAAGUAGGGCAACUAGAGUGCAGUCUACAAUCCUUACCGCCGCCAUCUUGGCCCUUGUCAUUUCCUUUACUUGUUUUGUCCCAGUUUUCAGUGUUAUAAAGCUAUACAUCCAGGUUUUUAACCCGCCCCAGUUGUUCAUCUUAACACGUUUAAUAUCUUUCUUUUCGUUGCUUUGUUUCGACUUCACGUUUUCCAUAGCAGUUGACCUUUCUCUUCGUAGUAAUGGUACAUAUUGUUAGACUCUUCCUUCAAAUUCAAAAAGAAAGGGGUUUUGAUUUAUGUUUUCUCUUGAUUGAAUGGGCCAGUUUUCCGUUCUUUUUUCUGUAUGGAGUGGAGAUAUUAUUGGGCAAAUUGCACGGCUUUCAUGCAGAUAAAUGGGCGUUCGAUAAAAGCCGCAGUGUUUUUUGAAGCAGCCAGAGAGCCGGGCUGCAUUGGGUGAUAACUUCAUCGCAGCGUGGGGUCAGGGGCAGGAAGAGAAACCCGGCUGAAAGGGGAUUAAGAGGAGCCAUCGAAGAGCUCUGGACUCGGACCACCUGCCGGGGAGCCCAGGCCUGGUCCGUGCCUAAUGUUUCUGAUCAGCUAUGCCAUUGUCUGUGUUCCCCUCUUUCUUUUCUCCCUUCACAAGAAAGAAUAGGACUGCCUCCACAUUUCCCUGAGCUCAGAUUAGCUGUUGGCCCCCUUUUUUUUGGCGUUGUCAUAUACUUGCCACUAUUUUGUAACCGAAGUUCAGGGAUCUGUUGAUGGUGCCCUCCGUUUAGAUAUGGGAUGAUGAAAAUAUGCAAAGGGGAUCAUUUACCCACAGUUUCUGUCAUUGGUUUCUAACCGCUACGUUGCUACAAAACCAUAUGCCAUUUUUAUGUCCUGGUCAAAUAUCCCGGUGAUGCUCUGGA
Long non-coding RNA from Puntigrus tetrazona (Sumatra barb), 2202 nucleotides. RefSeq lists it as uncharacterized. The transcript is spliced from 4 exons. The record is from RefSeq and is a predicted model, not a curated record. NCBI's taxonomy places the organism in Eukaryota, Metazoa, Chordata, Actinopteri, Cypriniformes, Cyprinidae.